Molecule: ribosomal RNA, 253 nt
Filed under: uncultured bacterium
Lineage: Bacteria
Description: partial 16S ribosomal RNA
Rfam family: Bacterial small subunit ribosomal RNA
Source: RNAcentral
UACGAAGGGGGCUAGCGUUGUUCGGAAUUACUGGGCGUAAAGGGCGCGUAGGCGGCGCAUCAAGUCAGGCGUGAAAGCCCCGGGCUCAACCUGGGAACCGCGCUUGAGACUGGUGGGCUAGAGUUCGGGAGAGGAUGGUGGAAUUCCCAGUGUAGAGGUGAAAUUCGUAGAUAUUGGGAAGAACACCGAUGGCGAAGGCAGCCAUCUGGACCGACACUGACGCUGAGGCGCGAAAGCGUGGGGAGCAAACAGG